RNAcentral lists this ribosomal RNA (253 nucleotides) under uncultured bacterium. RNAcentral's name for it is "partial 16S ribosomal RNA". It matches the Rfam family "Bacterial small subunit ribosomal RNA", at positions 524 to 776 of the family's 1533-position model. The record is from RNAcentral.
UACGUAGGGGGCAAGCGUUGUCCGGAUUCAUUGGGCGUAAAGAGCGUGUAGGCGGCCAGGUAGGUCGGUUGUGAAAACUGGAGGCUCAACCUUCAGAGGUCGACCGAAACCAUCUGGCUAGAGUCCGGGAGAGGAGAGUGGAAUUCCUGGUGUAGCGGUGAAAUGCGCAGAUAUCGGGAGGAACACCAAUAGCGAAGGCAGCUCGCUGGGACGGUACUGACGCUAAGGCGCGAAAGCGUGGGGAGCGAACAGG